GAACACUCCACCGGUCACAGAGAGGGAAAGCUGCCUAGUCGGAUGUGAAGAAGAACAAAGUGCAUAUUAAGGGCCUAGCCAUGCAGGGGCUCAGCAAUCCAGAUCCACCCUUGGCACUCGAAUCCUCCUUACCUUGAGGCUCUUGCCAGCCAAAAUAGUGGAAAGUGGGUGCAGCCGAGGCUCACAGCUCCACUGAGGGAGAGAAGAUCCAGCAGAACUCUAGAGAGCAGGACAGGGUUGCUUCUCCUGAGGUGCGGCAGGAAGUAAUGGGAGCAGGUGGAAGACUGGAGAACCAUUACCCCUUCUCUUGAUUGCAAGGACUCCGUCACAGAGCACCUUAAAAGGAACUCUUCUGAGCAUGUGCAGACAGCAUGUCUCUUCCUAGCCACAAGUAAACUCCACACACCCAGGAUUGAGAGAAAGGACUUCCAGGUCAGAGGGCAUAACUUCCAGCAGUAGAAAAAUGGAAUCCUGGCAUUCAUCUUUUUUUAAAACUUUCUGCCAUCAGUCCGAAAGUGUCAUCUUGCAUUCCACUCCAGUAGGCAAUAAAACCACUCCACUCAUGAAUGAAAGAGGAGUAAGGUGGCAGACAUUAAAGAGGACAGACAGAAAGGGAAAGGAAGACAUAUCCCUCAGCGUUACCGUAUAUGAUCCCCAUGCCUUGGCAGGAGAGAGGAGAUUACUUGAUGCUGUUAUUGAUCCUUUUAUCAUGAUCUUAAGUGGGUUGCAGCUGCAAGUCAUAUUGAUGCCAUGACUUUGUUUCUACAAAAAGAUAAUUCUUUAAACACCUACAUUGUCUUGUCUUAUGCACAACAGCCUGCUCAAUUUUUCAGCAAGUGCUAAUGGAUUUGUUUCCUAUAAAUGUGCUCCUUGGAAUGAACUUCUUGGUAAUGUGUUAUUCUUUCCCCUGCCUUAUGCACAGAACUGAAUCAGUGAUUUAUUUAUUUUUUAAAGGAACCCAUAGCAAUACCUAUAGUUUUAGAGAGUGGCACUGAAACAUCUAAUUUCAAUGCAUUGGAAGCUUUUUUUUUUUUUUAAAGGUGAAGUAAACACACUUUGUCCUUGAGUUUCUGAUUAGAAAAUAUAUACAAAGAUUAUUCCAAUGUGAAAGUGGAACAGACUUUUGUAAAAUAUCCACCCAUCUAUUGUUAGGGCACCUACAGUCAGAAUAUCUCAAGAAAGAUGUAUAAUGAUGCUGCUCUGAUUCACUUAGUAUUUGUUUAAUAAAGAUGCUGUUUGUCAAGGA
Molecule: long non-coding RNA, 1246 nt
Organism: Hemicordylus capensis (graceful crag lizard)
Lineage: Eukaryota; Metazoa; Chordata; Lepidosauria; Squamata; Cordylidae
Exons: 3
Source: RefSeq, a predicted model, not a curated record